Molecule: ribosomal RNA, 2811 nt
Filed under: Escherichia coli
Lineage: Bacteria; Pseudomonadati; Pseudomonadota; Gammaproteobacteria; Enterobacterales; Enterobacteriaceae
Description: partial 23S ribosomal RNA
Rfam family: Bacterial large subunit ribosomal RNA
Source: RNAcentral
GUUAAGCGACUAAGCGUACACGGUGGAUGCCCUGGCAGUCAGAGGCGAUGAAGGACGUGCUAAUCUGCGAUAAGCGUCGGUGAGGUGAUAUGAACCGUUAUAACCGGCGAUUUCCGAAUGGGGAAACCCAGUGUGUUUCGACACACUAUCAUUAACUGAAUCCAUAGGUUAAUGAGGCGAACCGGGGGAACUGAAACAUCUAAGUACCCCGAGGAAAAGAAAUCAACCGAGAUUCCCCCAGUAGCGGCGAGCGAACGGGGAGGAGCCCAGAGCCUGAAUCAGUGUGUGUGUUAGUGGAAGCGUCUGGAAAGGCGCGCGAUACAGGGUGACAGCCCCGUACACAAAAAUGCACAUAUUGUGAGCUCGAUGAGUAGGGCGGGACACGUGGUAUCCUGUCUGAAUAUGGGGGGACCAUCCUCCAAGGCUAAAUACUCCUGACUGACCGAUAGUGAACCAGUACCGUGAGGGAAAGGCGAAAAGAACCCCGGCGAGGGGAGUGAAAAAGAACCUGAAACCGUGUACGUACAAGCAGUGGGAGCCUCUUUAUGGGGUGACUGCGUACCUUUUGUAUAAUGGGUCAGCGACUUAUAUUCUGUAGCAAGGUUAACCGAAUAGGGGAGCCGAAGGGAAACCGAGUCUUAACUGGGCGUUAAGUUGCAGGGUAUAGACCCGAAACCCGGUGAUCUAGCCAUGGGCAGGUUGAAGGUUGGGUAACACUAACUGGAGGACCGAACCGACUAAUGUUGAAAAAUUAGCGGAUGACUUGUGGCUGGGGGUGAAAGGCCAAUCAAACCGGGAGAUAGCUGGUUCUCCCCGAAAGCUAUUUAGGUAGCGCCUCGUGAAUUCAUCUCCGGGGGUAGAGCACUGUUUCGGCAAGGGGGUCAUCCCGACUUACCAACCCGAUGCAAACUGCGAAUACCGGAGAAUGUUAUCACGGGAGACACACGGCGGGUGCUAACGUCCGUCGUGAAGAGGGAAACAACCCAGACCGCCAGCUAAGGUCCCAAAGUCAUGGUUAAGUGGGAAACGAUGUGGGAAGGCCCAGACAGCCAGGAUGUUGGCUUAGAAGCAGCCAUCAUUUAAAGAAAGCGUAAUAGCUCACUGGUCGAGUCGGCCUGCGCGGAAGAUGUAACGGGGCUAAACCAUGCACCGAAGCUGCGGCAGCGACACUAUGUGUUGUUGGGUAGGGGAGCGUUCUGUAAGCCUGUGAAGGUGGCCUGUGAGGGUUGCUGGAGGUAUCAGAAGUGCGAAUGCUGACAUAAGUAACGAUAAAGCGGGUGAAAAGCCCGCUCGCCGGAAGACCAAGGGUUCCUGUCCAACGUUAAUCGGGGCAGGGUGAGUCGACCCCUAAGGCGAGGCCGAAAGGCGUAGUCGAUGGGAAACAGGUUAAUAUUCCUGUACUUGGUGUUACUGCGAAGGGGGGACGGAGAAGGCUAUGUUGGCCGGGCGACGGUUGUCCCGGUUUAAGCGUGUAGGCUGGUUUUCCAGGCAAAUCCGGAAAACCAAGGCUGAGGCGUGAUGACGAGGCACUACGGUGCUGAAGCGACAAAUGCCCUGCUUCCAGGAAAAGCCUCUAAGCAUCAGGUAACAUCAAAUCGUACCCCAAACCGACACAGGUGGUCAGGUAGAGAAUACCAAGGCGCUUGAGAGAACUCGGGUGAAGGAACUAGGCAAAAUGGUGCCGUAACUUCGGGAGAAGGCACGCUGAUAUGUAGGUGAAGCGACUUGCUCGUGGAGCUGAAAUCAGUCGAAGAUACCAGCUGGCUGCAACUGUUUAUUAAAAACACAGCACUGUGCAAACACGAAAGUGGACGUAUACGGUGUGACGCCUGCCCGGUGCCGGAAGGUUAAUUGAUGGGGUUAGCGGUAACGCGAAGCUCUUGAUCGAAGCCCCGGUAAACGGCGGCCGUAACUAUAACGGUCCUAAGGUAGCGAAAUUCCUUGUCGGGUAAGUUCCGACCUGCACGAAUGGCGUAAUGAUGGCCAGGCUGUCUCCACCCGAGACUCAGUGAAAUUGAACUCGCUGUGAAGAUGCAGUGUACCCGCGGCAAGACGGAAAGACCCCGUGAACCUUUACUAUAGCUUGACACUGAACAUUGAGCCUUGAUGUGUAGGAUAGGUGGGAGGCUUUGAAGUGUGGACGCCAGUCUGCAUGGAGCCGACCUUGAAAUACCACCCUUUAAUGUUUGAUGUUCUAACGUUGGCCCGUAAUCCGGGUUGCGGACAGUGUCUGGUGGGUAGUUUGACUGGGGCGGUCUCCUCCUAAAGAGUAACGGAGGAGCACGAAGGUUGGCUAAUCCUGGUCGGACAUCAGGAGGUUAGUGCAAUGGCAUAAGCCAGCUUGACUGCGAGCGUGACGGCGCGAGCAGGUGCGAAAGCAGGUCAUAGUGAUCCGGUGGUUCUGAAUGGAAGGGCCAUCGCUCAACGGAUAAAAGGUACUCCGGGGAUAACAGGCUGAUACCGCCCAAGAGUUCAUAUCGACGGCGGUGUUUGGCACCUCGAUGUCGGCUCAUCACAUCCUGGGGCUGAAGUAGGUCCCAAGGGUAUGGCUGUUCGCCAUUUAAAGUGGUACGCGAGCUGGGUUUAGAACGUCGUGAGACAGUUCGGUCCCUAUCUGCCGUGGGCGCUGGAGAACUGAGGGGGGCUGCUCCUAGUACGAGAGGACCGGAGUGGACGCAUCACUGGUGUUCGGGUUGUCAUGCCAAUGGCACUGCCCGGUAGCUAAAUGCGGAAGAGAUAAGUGCUGAAAGCAUCUAAGCACGAAACUUGCCCCGAGAUGAGUUCUCCCUGACUCCUUGAGAGUCCUGAAGG